RNAcentral lists this unclassified non-coding RNA (408 nucleotides) under soil metagenome. RNAcentral's name for it is "partial contains 5.8S ribosomal RNA, internal transcribed spacer 2, and large subunit ribosomal RNA". The stretch from base 1 to 120 matches the Rfam family "5.8S ribosomal RNA", at positions 35 to 154 of the family's 154-position model. The record is from RNAcentral.
GAUGAAGAACGCAGUGAAAUGCGAUAAGUAAUGUGAAUUGCAGAAUUCAGUGAAUCAUCGAAUCUUUGAACGCACCUUGCGCUCCUUGGCAUUCCGAGGAGCAUGCCUGUUUGAGUGUCAUUAAAUUCUCAAGACCUGUCUGCUUUUUUGAUAGGUAUUGGAUUUUGGGGGUUGCAGGCUGUUUCAAAUAAAUAGCCUUGCUCUCCUUGAAUGUAUUAGUGGAGAAAAGCCAUUGAACUCCAUUGGUGUGAUAAAACCUAUCAAUGCCAGGAGCAAUAUCACUACUUCUCUCUGCUGUCUAACUGUGACUGUCUGUAUUAAUUAGUAUGGAUGGGGACAACUUGACCAACUUGACCUCAAAUCAGGUAGGACUACCCGCUGAACUUAAGCAUAUCAAUAAGCGGAGGA